CUUAACGGCGUGGGGGUUCAAAUCCCUUCACCUCAUUAUUAUA
This 43-nucleotide transfer RNA is filed under the name Streptococcus agalactiae. Its description in RNAcentral is "tRNA-Leu". The record is from RNAcentral. Lineage: Bacteria; Bacillati; Bacillota; Bacilli; Lactobacillales; Streptococcaceae.